GGGAAUGAUGCUUUAUAAAUAUUGAUGAGAGACACUGAAUUCAAUUGCAUCAGGUUGUACUUUACCGAUGGUUAAAGGAUCGAAUAUUUUUUAAAGUGCUUUAACCAUUUUAAGGUUCCAUGGGAUAAACAGCUUGGGGUGAAAUCCAGAAAUAUAGUUGGUGUACAAAAGAGCAAGUUUGAGAUCUGCAAGAAGUAAAACACUGCAGCAAAGCUCUUUAAUUCACUCUGCAUAAAUAGCUGAGCCUACAAAAGAAAUCUCUAGUCAGAGGUUUCCUGGAUUUUAACAAGAAUUCUCUCGAUGGGAAGAAGUGCCCUUUUCACUUGAAGACAAAGAAAUGUUUGUAAUGGAAAUGUGUGAACCAAUUUUCCAAGGAGAGCUGCUGAAAAGCGCUGAUUAAAAACACAGUGAGGUGAUGAGGCAGUGAAAUAAAGCCAGAGCUGACCCACUUAAAGUUUGUGGCUGCACUUCCUUCUCAAAGUGAAGAGAGCAACCCUGGGCCACCUUCUACAUUCUUUCCCUUCUCCCCAACCCCAAGCAGUCCCUGCCCCCUUUACUGACCCUGCAACUCUGUAGACAGUCAGAACCUUCCAGCGUGCAGGAAUGUUUACUAUUUCUGGCCAUUGUGUACUGGUUACUAAGCUACUGCCACUGAGGAUGAAAUGGUAACCCAGUAGCCCAAAAGACAAAGUCCUUCUCAACAAAGCCUAACCAACAGGCAAUGGGUUACAGUGAUUCAGAGGAAAGAUAAGAAGUUUCCUUUGUCUUGGACCUCCACUAGACAUCAAGGAAACAUGCCAAAAAAGUAAACAACAAAGGCCCCACACCUUUCCAAACUACAACCCAAAAUAAGUUGAUCUGAGAAACAAAUUGCAAUGCCACAUGCAAAGCAGAUGUGUCCAAAUUCAUGUAGGACCAGACACAUCCUGAACCUUUAAAUGCAACAGCUGUUCAAGACUUUCUUCAAAAUCAUCCAAGCACAAGGGUUGAUAAAAUGCACACAAAAUGGCUGAUGCUCAAACCAACCAAAACACCAGGCUCUUUGCUGAAACCUCUGAAGGGUUCCUGGCUCCACGUCAGCCUCAAGGGAAUAAAGGAAGAUCACCUACCACUUCAAGCCAAAGAGCUGAAGGAGUUGUGUCAAGAUACAGAGUGCAGCAAGUAUAGGAAAGAUUAGAGAAACUGACCUGUCUGGAGAUGGCAAGCUGCAGAGCCAGCAUCUAAAAUGGCAGCCGAAGCUUGUCGGCUUUGUGGAGGGCCUUGAGGUGAAGAAUCCAUAGGCCCUGUGGUCUGUUCUCCCCAGCAGAUGGGUCUCUGUGUCAUGCUGGGACACAGUGAAGCCAUGUGUGCACUUGGCAAGGCGAUGGCUGCUUUGACAGGAUCUUACUCUAUCACCCAGGCUGGAGUGCAGUGGCAUGAUCACUGCUCAUUGCAGCCUCAACUUCCCAGGGCCCAAGCGAUCCUCCCAUCUCAGCCUCCCAAGGCGCUGGGACCACAGGCGCACUCCCCAUGCCCAGAUAAUUUAUAGAAUUUUUUGUAGACCCGGGGUUUCAAUAUGCUAUCCAGGCUAGUCUGGAACUACUAGGCUCAAGUGAUCCUCCCACUUUGGCAUCCCAAAACGCUGGGAUUACAGGCAUAAGCCACCACGCCCAGCUACUAAAUGUCUUAUUUCUAAGGUCCACUUAGUAUAUAGCAGCUUUUAUAAUUUUAUAAAUAUUGACUUUCCAUGAAUUUGUACAUCAAAGAAUAUUUUUCUUUGGUGUUUAUAAAAGUGAGAUUGAAAAAUCAUGGUUUCUUUCAUAAUUAUUCAGGAAAAAGAAUACACAAUUAUGAAGAAACUUUUUAGAUUUAUCUUCUUUCACAAAUAAUAAAGUUUACACAACCCUCAAAAA
Nomascus leucogenys (northern white-cheeked gibbon) is the source of this 1892-nucleotide long non-coding RNA. RefSeq lists it as uncharacterized. The record is from RefSeq and is a predicted model, not a curated record. NCBI's taxonomy places the organism in Eukaryota, Metazoa, Chordata, Mammalia, Primates, Hylobatidae. The transcript has 5 exons.